This 404-nucleotide ribosomal RNA is filed under the name Actinomycetes bacterium. Its description in RNAcentral is "Actinobacteria bacterium partial 16S ribosomal RNA". It matches the Rfam family "Bacterial small subunit ribosomal RNA", at positions 355 to 776 of the family's 1533-position model. The record is from RNAcentral. Lineage: Bacteria; Bacillati; Actinomycetota; Actinomycetes.
UGGGGAAUAUUGGACAAUGGGCGCAAGCCUGAUCCAGCCAUGCCGCGUGAGUGAUGAAGGCCCUAGGGUUGUAAAGCUCUUUCACCGGUGAAGAUAAUGACGGUAACCGGAGAAGAAGCCCCGGCUAACUUCGUGCCAGCAGCCGCGGUAAUACGAAGGGGGCUAGCGUUGUUCGGAUUUACUGGGGGUAAAGCGCACGAAGGCGGACUUUUAAGUCAGGGGUGAAAUCCCGGGGCUCAACCCCGGAAAUGCCUUUGAUACUGUAAGUCUUGAGUAUGGUAGAGGUGAGUGGAAUUCCGAGUGUAGAGAUGAAAUUCGUAGAUAUUCGGAGGAAAACCAGUGGCGAAGGCGGCUCACUGGACCAUUACUGACGCUGAGGUGCGAAAGCGUGGGGAGCAAACAGG